UAGUUAUUACUUCUAAUGGUCUCAAUA
This 27-nucleotide small RNA is filed under the name Bombyx mori (domestic silkworm). RNAcentral's name for it is "ovarian small RNA-23124". Lineage: Eukaryota; Metazoa; Arthropoda; Insecta; Lepidoptera; Bombycidae. The record is from RNAcentral.